UGCCAGCAGCCGCGGUAACACGGGGGGCGCAAGCGUUAUUCGGAAUUAUUGGGCGUAAAGCGCGUGUAGGCGGUUCGUUAAGUCUGAUGUGAAAGCCCGGGGCUCAACCCCGGAUGGUCACUUGAAACAGCAAGACUUGAGUACGGGAGAGGAAAGUGGAAUUCCGAGUGUAGGGGUGAAAUCCGUAGAUAUUCGGAGGAACACCAGUGGCGAAGGCGGCUUUCUGGACCGAUACUAACGCUGAGACCCAAAAGCGUGGACAGCAAACAGGAGUAGAUA
RNAcentral lists this ribosomal RNA (279 nucleotides) under uncultured bacterium. RNAcentral's name for it is "partial 16S ribosomal RNA". It matches the Rfam family "Bacterial small subunit ribosomal RNA", at positions 506 to 784 of the family's 1533-position model. The record is from RNAcentral.